CCCCCGCUUAUCGAGCUGGCUACGCCACUGGUCUCCCUUGAGAAGUACUGCCAAACUUACCAUCGUUUCUGCUGCUCUAAAAUUGUGUCGUUAUAUUUACGAGUUGCAUGGAAGAUAUUGCCCUGAUCCCCGCAAUAUCUCUCGGCGGUCCUCCUAAUUAUACUAAGCCUAAGAACCCGUUUGUAUGAUACAUCCCAAUACCUCCCGC
This is a non-coding RNA of Paramuricea clavata, 208 nucleotides long. Lineage: Eukaryota; Metazoa; Cnidaria; Anthozoa; Malacalcyonacea; Plexauridae. The record is from the annotation of a GenBank genome assembly.